This 496-nucleotide ribosomal RNA is filed under the name uncultured bacterium. RNAcentral describes it as "partial 16S ribosomal RNA". It matches the Rfam family "Bacterial small subunit ribosomal RNA", at positions 28 to 507 of the family's 1533-position model. The record is from RNAcentral.
GAUGAACGCUGGCGGCGUGCCUAAUACAUGCAAGUCGAGCGAACAGACGAGGAGCUUGCUCCUCUGACGUUAGCGGCGGACGGGUGAGUAACACGUGGAUAACCUACCUAUAAGACUGGGAUAACUUCGGGAAACCGGAGCUAAUACCGGAUAAUAUAUUGAACCGCAUGGUUCAAUAGUGAAAGACGGUUUUGCUGUCACUUAUAGAUGGAUCCGCGCCGCAUUAGCUAGUUGUAAGGUAACGGCUUACCAAGGCAACGAUGCGUAGCCGACCUGAGAGGGUGAUCGGCCACACGGGAACUGGGACACGGUCCAGACUCCUACGGGAGGCAGCAGUAGGGAAUCUUCCGCAAUGGGCGAAAGCCUGACGGAGCAACGCCGCGUGAGUGAUGAAGGUCUUCGGAUCGUAAAACUCUGUUAUUAGGGAAGAACAAAUGUGUAAGUAACUAUGCACGUCUUGACGGUACCUAAUCAGAAAGCCACGGCUAACUACGUG